UUAUUAACCUCAGUUUGGAGACCUGAAACUGAAACUGAGAUGAGCAUGCACUCAGUCCAUGAUAGCGUUGGCAGCGGGCACCAGGCAGCUUCCCAUGCUGACUCGGACACCCGUGGCAUCACCCUGCAUCUGGGAGCGCUUACACAGGGCCUGUGGCCUCCUUCCUUCUGUUCAACAACAGUUACAGAAAACAGAAAUUGAGCUGAACAUCAUAAUGAAGAAAAUAAAGACAGGAAGAGAAAAGGCGGAAGGUGGUACAUGCAAAAUUCUCGAAGUCCAAGGAGAGGCUGGACCUGAAGGUGAACAAGUCUGCUGACCAAGAGAAGUUUUCAGAGAAAGGUCAAGGGAGCACCACUGUGUACAAGGCUGUCUCUUUCUCCACCCUCCCCUCCCCACUAAGCAAAAUCAAUGGAAGGACCUAGAACAGAGUAAGUUAUGUUCCGGGGCUGCAUGGCCUGUAUUCCCAUUGGAC
This 472-nucleotide long non-coding RNA is filed under the name Bos indicus x Bos taurus (hybrid cattle). RNAcentral describes it as "lncRNA (ENSBIXG00000021531.1)". Lineage: Eukaryota; Metazoa; Chordata; Mammalia; Artiodactyla; Bovidae. The record is from RNAcentral.